AGGUCAGAGGUCUUGGCAUAAGGUCGGGCAGCUGUUCGAGGUUUAGAUGAAGCCUAAGAGAGCUGUCUCCAGGCCAGGGAAGCCAGCUUGGGAGGCCCCAAGCCUGCUGCCUCUUAAAGCAGGUGACUCAGCCUCGCUCUGUCAGUGACACUGGUUGAAAAGGCAGUGUGCUCUAGUGGGAAGACAACAGGGACUGUGGCAUCGGGAGACCAAGGUUCAGAUACAGCCCCUGGUUGAUUUCCAGCUCUCCUGUGUCAGGCAAGAUAUUUAGAAACAAAACAAAUAAGCUUGCUAUGUCACCUGGCAAAGACUCUUCGGGGUUCUAUUUAAGGAACAGAGAAAAGCGGCAUCAAGCUAGAAAUGUCUAACAUCCAGAGCCGAGUCUAAAUAAAUUUCCAGUCUGAUGUCCUUAAGAAAACAAGGUCUUCAAGGCUGGUCUUAAACAUAUCACAUGACCCUGCUUGAAACUAUCUUUCCUGUGUCCAUUGUUUCAAUUGAUUAUUUUGUUUUAUGGCUUCUCAAGUCUGGAAUCCUUUAAUUAGGUCUUUUUUCUUUGGAUUUACUGCCAAGUUCAGUGCCACCUGGUGAUUCUUCCUAGGUUCUAAUGUUAGUCAAUUUGCUGACUUGUCUAUACCAUUUAGAGACUUUGCUCUGUUCUAGAAUCUUGGUCUGAGCUAAGCCCUGGUUGGGGGAAUAUGGAAAGCGUGGGUGGAAGUCGCUGAACAUUAGACAGAGAAUGUCAGUUAGAGGCAGUGUUUGAGAUGCUUACAUUUUCA
This is a long non-coding RNA of Bubalus bubalis (water buffalo), 776 nucleotides long. RefSeq lists it as uncharacterized. The record is from RefSeq and is a predicted model, not a curated record. The transcript has 4 exons. Lineage: Eukaryota; Metazoa; Chordata; Mammalia; Artiodactyla; Bovidae.